CGGUUGCGCAAACUGUAAAUGCACAUUUACUUUCUGUUCAUACCAGCAGUGGAAUGGCGGUUUUGCCCUCGAGCUGUAUACUAAAGGCAUGAGUUUUGUAUUGUGUUCUAGAAGCUUUACACUGACUGCACAGCCAGGUACAGACGCUUCGUUCUAUUUUCGGUUUGGUCUCGGAUACAGACGCAGCGUGAAACGGAGGUAUCGAUCAAGCUCUCAGAUAUAAAGGUCGCUGGGGUGGGAAAGAGAAGACGAGAGAUCCUGAUUGUGGUUGACUUCCGGAGGAAGUAAUUAAUGUAGGAAUGGUCUUGGAUUCCAGUUGGGGGGUCAUUACUAAAUGCAGAGCAAAAGAAUUUGGCAUUUGGUGCUGCUGCUAGCAUGGUACAUGCAGCCACAGGGUACUCAGUAGUGAGAUCUAUGUCGGAGGCUCCAAAAUAUGCUUCUGUGAUUGCAAAGAUUUUGAAGCAGGAUUGUCCUAAGGCCAGUCUUAGCCGUCAAAUAAGAAAUCAGAAUAUCUCAAUGCAAGGCAAAGCCAUGGCCUUUUGCUGAGUGGAAGUUUUAUAGCAUUUUCUUUAUUUCGUGACGCAUCAAUUUAUGCAGAACAGGCCAAGUAAUUUCAGAUAUGUUCCAAUAAAAACAAAGGUGAAGGUGGUUCAUCAAUUCUAUACUUCAUGCUGCCUUUCCUUAACAGAGAAAUGUGCUGCCUUUAUUUAACAGAGAGGAAGUGAAGGACCCAAAGCGUGUGUCACCAAGAGCUUCAACUGAGGAACGGUGUGAAGGCAAGGAACAAGUGUUAAGAAGCUUCACAUCAAAGGCACUGACAACUUCCUGAUUGCAAAGAGCAAGAACAACUUGCAAAUGUUGAAUAUGUUGGUUUGAUUAAUUAUGCAGGCAAGACUGCAGUUCGUUAAUCUUUUUUCUCACGCUGAGGAUAACUAAGAAGUUUCCAAAGAGGAGUACAACUUAAAUCAGAAACUGGCAAAGAAAUAUGAAAAUGACAGAGGAUCAAGAAGAAGCUGAUCAAGAUAAGGAGGAAAAGGAUCAUGCCCAUGACUAAUAUGGCAUUAGAAACAUUCAGAGGCAGUAGGCAGUACACCCUCAUUAAAAUUGGGCACUUAUACUCAAAAUAUGUCAUCCAUAUGGAGGAAUGUGUUAAAUGGUUAGAACAUGCAGAAGACUGUAAAAGUACUUGGGCUCUCUCUCUCUGUGAACUAGAGAACUUCAUUUUAUUACUAUUAGUUGUUGGUUCAGUUAGAAAGCAAUUGAUAAUAGUUAUACAACUUGAAUGAAGUUAUACUACCCGCAGCAAAGCGCGGGAUCUCUAACUAGUUCAAUACUAUCAAAGCCUGCAUGGUAUUGUGAGCUUGUACAUAUUGAAGUGAUCGAUUGUACGAUGGAGGCUAUACCAGAGGGGUGAGGUGAUUUUGGAUGACUAAUAACAUUAGAGUUACUUCCAAAUUUGAGCUAAAAUAGGGCUAGCUAGCUAGGUUCACUUUGCUAAUCAUCAGUUCAGGGUUACAAAAAAGUGUAAUGACAUUCUAUAUCUUCACUAUCAAAGUUCAGUCCAAUCUUCAACAGACCCCGAAAAGAAAAGGAAAGGCUUUCUCAUUGAUCA
Molecule: long non-coding RNA, 1612 nt
Organism: Rosa chinensis
Lineage: Eukaryota; Viridiplantae; Streptophyta; Magnoliopsida; Rosales; Rosaceae
Exons: 10
Source: RefSeq, a predicted model, not a curated record